UACGUAGGGGGCGAGCGUUAUCCGGAAUUAUUGGGCGUAAAGAGUACGUAGGUGGCUUUGUAAUCGCAAGGUGAAAGACCGCAGCUUAACUGCGGUGAGCCUUGUGAACUGCAAGACUUGAGUGCAGGAGGGGAAAGUGGAAUUCCUAGUGUAGCGGUGAAAUGCGUAGAUAUUAGGAGGAACACCGGUGGCGAAGGCGACUUUCUGGACUGUAACUGACACUGAGGUACGAAAGCGUGGGGAGCAAACA
This 250-nucleotide ribosomal RNA is filed under the name uncultured prokaryote. Its description in RNAcentral is "partial 16S ribosomal RNA". It matches the Rfam family "Bacterial small subunit ribosomal RNA", at positions 524 to 774 of the family's 1533-position model. The record is from RNAcentral.